Long non-coding RNA from Thunnus maccoyii (southern bluefin tuna), 1254 nucleotides. RefSeq lists it as uncharacterized. Lineage: Eukaryota; Metazoa; Chordata; Actinopteri; Scombriformes; Scombridae. The record is from RefSeq and is a predicted model, not a curated record. The transcript is spliced from 3 exons.
UGAGUUCAGAGUUUAAUCAGGUGAAUUGACUCAACUCUGUGUUUGAUCCAGACUCCAGUGAGCUUCGUCACUAUGAGACUCUACAAGACUGCGAUUCAUGCUGGACGCUGCUGUUCUCUCUGUGUCCAACAUUUGCUGUUCUCUCCUCUCUCCUUUCAUCUCUUUUGGUUUAUCGCCUUUGUCAGAAAACAGCUAAAGAACCUCAGAUUGAUGAGCAAACAGCUGACACUAGAGGUCAAACAAGACUGAACCAGGGUGAAGAUGUGUGUUAUGCUGCACUGGAACACUGUCAGGCAUCACAAAGACCAAAGAAGAAGAAAACUGCAAGUUCUGACUUCAGCACUUAUUCUGCCAUCAAUACCUCUAGAGUGUAAAGAGUCACAAGAAGUUGUAUAAUGAAUUAAUUAUUGUUGAUACAUAUAGACUAUUCUGUAAAUAAGCGUAAAGUUAAGCAACAGUCAUUACCAUCAAUAACUGACCUGUGAGAAAAUGUGUAUGUAUAAACUAGCCUCCUUUGUUGUGAAGGUUGAAAGCAAUUGUUUGUUUGGAAAAGUUCAUACUAAACUCUACUUUUUUGUGUCAAUUCUCCAAUGAGGAUAAAUAUACAGUAACUGUUGUUUUGCUGUAUUGUUUAGUAGUUCAUGAAGUCAUCAGUGCUUCCACUGUGUACUUCCACUUCAAAUGUUUCGGAUUGUUUCUAAUUGUUUUGAAUUUUCCUCUGUUAGUGGCCUGAACCACAAUUUAUAUGAAUUCAUUGUGUUCAUUUGUUCAUUCAUUCUUCUAAGAAUAUACAUGCUUUUAUCUCAUCAUGGCUGGAUUACUGUAACAGAUUUUUUACAUGCCUGAAUAGUAAACUGUAGAGCAGCUACAGACAGUACAGAACUCAGCUGCCAGGCUUUGAACCAGAGUAAACAUGUUUGAACACGUCACCCCAGUUUUAGCCUCUUUACACUGCCUCCCAGUAUGUUUUAGAAUUUUAGAUUUCAAGGUUCUUUUAAUUACUUAAGACGCACUAAAUGGUCUAACUUCUCAAUAUAUCUCAGAUCGUUUAUCUACGUACGACUGUUGGCUGAAGAUUUCGGGGGACAGAGCUUUUGAAAUGAGAGCCCCGAAGCUCUGGAACAACCUGCCUGAGGAAAUGAGGCAGGCUGAGUCAGUGGCUUCCUUUUACGUACUUUUAUCACACCACCUUCCCUGAUUUCACCUGAUUCUAGUUUUUAUUCUGUGUUAUGGGUUUUAUUAUUUUAGUUUUGU